RNAcentral lists this transfer RNA (65 nucleotides) under Trigonopterus selaruensis. Its description in RNAcentral is "tRNA-Cys". It matches the Rfam family "tRNA". Rfam says of the family: Transfer RNA (tRNA) molecules are approximately 80 nucleotides in length. Their secondary structure includes four short double-helical elements and three loops (D, anti-codon, and T loops). Lineage: Eukaryota; Metazoa; Arthropoda; Insecta; Coleoptera; Curculionidae. The record is from RNAcentral.
GAUCAUAUAGUCUAAGGGGAGGAUACUAGAUUGCAAAUCUAGAGGUGAAUAUAAUUUUAUGAUUU